Molecule: unclassified non-coding RNA, 1656 nt
Filed under: Hevea brasiliensis (rubber tree)
Lineage: Eukaryota; Viridiplantae; Streptophyta; Magnoliopsida; Malpighiales; Euphorbiaceae
Source: RNAcentral
CGAACGCCUCUCUUUCUUUACAUUCCCUCUCACAGGGGAGACAUCAAAUGACUGCGUGGCUGCUAACUGACGCCAACCAUGGAAAUUGUCUAAACAGGUUCAGUUUUCCUCUUAUCUUUCCCCCACUGCGUUUAUUUCCGUCUCUCUAGCAGUCUCGCUCCCUCAAGCUCGUGCACUUAUUGUUGCUGGUGGUGCUUCUGUCGCUAUCCACUCGCCGCCGCAUGCGCAGCUGUUGCUUUGUCCUCUCUAGCAGGUCCUGAGUUCGAAUGCGUCCGGAGAGGAUGAGGUAUUAAGUGUAGUAGAUUCUGUCUCGUUUUAGAGUUUCAGGUCCAUCACUCAAGGUGUUUCCCUCUAUUCCGUAUAGAUUUUGGGAUCUUUAUUGGCUUUUAUUGUGUUGUAAUUUACUGGUUUGUGCAAAUAGAAUUAUAAUUGGGUUUGAUAAGCGACGGAUUAGGAUAAAUUUUGGGUUACACUACCUGUUGCUAUCCCUAAAAAAUAUAGUAAUUGUGAAGAAAUGAGUUUUCGAAAUCUAGAAACUUGGAGUGACCUUGGAACUUCCAUGAGCAGUUCAUUUGCGAUUCCUAGGACCGAGUCGACUCACCAUCGCCUCUAUGAGUUUGCCAAAUUGGCACUUAUCAAGAUAUUUGUCCAUCCCUACGCCACUGUGUGCGAUUUGUAUUGUGGAGGAGGAGGAGUGGACGCAGAGAAAUGGGAUGGUGCUCAAAUUGGCCAUUAUAUUGGAAUUGAUGUAUCAUCAUCUGGAGUAAGUGAGAUGAGGGAAGCAUGGGAAAGUCAGAGGAAAAUUUACACUGCUGAGUUCUUUGAGGCUGAUCCUUGCACAGAAAAUUUUGGAGUGCAGCUACAGGAGAAGGCCAACCAGGCUGAUUUAGUAUGCUGCUUACAGAAUUUGCAGUUGUGUUUUGAAAAUGAGGAAAAUGCAAGGAAACUUCUACAUAAUGUGUCAUCUUUGCUUAAACCAGGGGGUUAUUUUUUCGGUAUUACUCCUGACUCAUCUACCAUAUGGGCAAAGUACCAGAAGAAUGUUGAAGCAUACCACAACAGAAGUGGCAGCAUGAAGCCAAAUAUAGUUCCCAAUUGUAUUCGGUCAGAGAGCUAUAUGAUAACCUUCGAAGUUGAGGAAGAGAAGUUUCCAUUAUUUGGAAAGAAAUACCAGUUAAAAUUUGCGCAUGACCCUGCUGAAACUCAUUGCUUGGUUCAUUUUCCUAGCUUGAUCAGGUUGGCCCGGGAAGCUGGUUUGGAGUAUGUGGAGAUUCAAAAUUUGACAGAGUUCUAUGAUGAUAACAGGUAUUUGAUUGCAUCUCCUAACUGUACAGUAUGCACUUAUAUCCAAGCGAACUUUUUGUUUACUUAUUGGUAUUGGAGAUUAGCUACGCUGAUUUCUCUUCUUCAUUUGCUCAAAGAAUGCAUUUUGCAAGCAUGCUAUUGAAUGCUGGUCCAAACCUAGUGGAUCCGAGGGGAAGACUUCUUCCUCGGUCAUUUGACGUGCUAGGUCUAUAUACAACAUUUAUAUUUCAGAAGCCAGACCCAGAUGUUGCCCCACCUCUUGCAACCCCACUAUUGCAGGACGAUAGUUUCAAUCAUGAUGAGAGAGAGUGGCAGGCAACUGUAUGGAGAGACGAUGAAAAGACUACAGAG